RNAcentral lists this small RNA (28 nucleotides) under Bombyx mori (domestic silkworm). RNAcentral's name for it is "ovarian small RNA-32056". The record is from RNAcentral. Lineage: Eukaryota; Metazoa; Arthropoda; Insecta; Lepidoptera; Bombycidae.
UGACUUCCGAUUACACGUUUCAGGUGAU